RNAcentral lists this ribosomal RNA (896 nucleotides) under uncultured marine archaeon. Its description in RNAcentral is "SSU rRNA". It matches the Rfam family "Archaeal small subunit ribosomal RNA", at positions 455 to 1354 of the family's 1478-position model. The record is from RNAcentral.
GUGCCAGCAGCCGCGGUAAUACCGGCAGCUCAAGUGGUCGUCGCUUUUAUUGGGCCUAAAACGUCCGUAGCCUGUUUGGUAAAUCUGUGGGUAAAUCAACCAGCUUAACUGGUUGAAUUCUGCAGAGACUGCCAGACUAGGGACCGGGAGAGGUGUGGGGUACGCUCAGGGUAGGGGUAAAGUCCUGUCAUCCUGAGCGGACCACCUGUUGCGAAGGCGCCACACUAGAACGGAUCCGACGGUCAGGGACGAAGCCUAGGGGCACGAACCGGAUUAGAUACCCGGGUAGUCCUAGGUGUAAACGCUGAGGACUUGGUGUUGGGUAUUCUCCGAGGAUCCUCAUGCCGAAGCGAAGGUGAUAGGUCCACUGCUUGGGGAGUACGGUCGCAAGGCUGAAACUUAAAGUAAUUGGCGGGGGAGCACCGCAACCUGAGGAUUGUGCGGUUUAAUUAAUUCAACGCCGGAAAACUCACCAGUGCCGACGGACAAAUGAAAGCCAGUUUGAUGAGCUUGAUGGAUUGUUCGAGAGGUAGUGCAUGGCCGUCGUCAGUUUGUACCGUAAGGCGUUCUGUUAAGUCAGAUAACGAACGAGAUCCUCAUCCCUAUUUGCUAAGGUCAGUCCGCUGAUCACAGGACUAUAGGGAGACCGCUGGCGCGAAGUCAGAGGAAGGCGAGGGCAACGGUAGGUCAGUAUGCUCCGAAUGCACUGGGCUACACGCGCAAUACAAAGGACGGGACAAUGGGCCGCUGCGCCGAGAGGCAUGUGGCUAUCUCGAAACCCGCUCGUAGUUCGGAUUGAGGGCUGUAACCCGCCCCCAUGAAGCUGGAUUAGGUAGUAAUCGCGUCUCAACAAGGCGCGGUGAAUAUGCCCCUGCUCCUUGCACUCACCGCCCGUC